This 26-nucleotide non-coding RNA is filed under the name Cricetulus griseus (Chinese hamster). The record is from RNAcentral. RNAcentral also lists the same sequence under 1 other name. Lineage: Eukaryota; Metazoa; Chordata; Mammalia; Rodentia; Cricetidae.
AGCCUGUGGAACUGAGAACCAAGUGG